UGUAUGCUAUCAUUUUUAACAGCUG
This 25-nucleotide non-coding RNA is filed under the name Mus musculus (house mouse). Lineage: Eukaryota; Metazoa; Chordata; Mammalia; Rodentia; Muridae. The record is from RNAcentral.